CCUACGGGGGGCUGCAGUGGGGAAUAUUGCACAAUGGGCGAAAGCCUGAUGCAGCGACGCCGCGUGAGGGAUGACGGCCUUCGGGUUGUAAACCUCUUUCAGCAGGGAAGAAGCGAAAGUGACGGUACCUGCAGAAGAAGCGCCGGCUAACUACGUGCCAGCAGCCGCGGUAAUACGUAGGGCGCAAGCGUUGUCCGGAAUUAUUGGGCGUAAAGAGCUCGUAGGCGGCUUGUCACGUCGGAUGUGAAAGCCCGGGGCUUAACCCCGGGUCUGCAUUCGAUACGGGCUAGCUAGAGUGUGGUAGGGGAGAUCGGAAUUCCUGGUGUAGCGGUGAAAUGCGCAGAUAUCAGGAGGAACACCGGUGGCGAAGGCGGAUCUCUGGGCCAUUACUGACG
RNAcentral lists this ribosomal RNA (395 nucleotides) under Streptomyces sp. Its description in RNAcentral is "bacterial SSU rRNA". It matches the Rfam family "Bacterial small subunit ribosomal RNA", at positions 338 to 745 of the family's 1533-position model. The record is from RNAcentral. Lineage: Bacteria; Bacillati; Actinomycetota; Actinomycetes; Kitasatosporales; Streptomycetaceae.